This is a long non-coding RNA of Thalassophryne amazonica, 175 nucleotides long. RefSeq lists it as uncharacterized. The transcript is spliced from 3 exons. The record is from RefSeq and is a predicted model, not a curated record. NCBI's taxonomy places the organism in Eukaryota, Metazoa, Chordata, Actinopteri, Batrachoidiformes, Batrachoididae.
AGCACAUACAGACACCCAGUGCACAAAGUGUUUUAGUGUAGGGGAGAGCAGGGUGUCCGCCGCUACUACGCCCUGAAAUCACAGGGUGGUAGCAGCUGGAGAAGCAACAAUGCCAAAGAAGCUGGACUUUUUUUUUUCUUCAUUUCAUAUAAAUUUGUUGUAGUUAUUGUUAAAA